UCGAGCGGUAUUGUUUCUUCGGAAACGAGAGAGCGGCGCACGGGUGCGGAACACGUGUGCAACCUGCCUUUAUCUGGGGGAUAGCCUUUCGAAAGGAAGAUUAAUACCCCAUAAUAUUUUGAAUGGCAUCAUUUAAAAUUGAAAACUCCGGUGGAUAGAGAUGGGCACGCUCAAGAUUAGAUAGUUGGUAGGGUAACGGCCUACCAAGUCAGUGAUCUUUAGGGGGCCUGAGAGGGUGAUCCCCCACACUGGUACUGAGACACGGACCAGACUCCUACGGGAGGCAGCAGUGAGGAAUAUUGGACAAUGGGUGAGAGCCUGAUCCAGCCAUCCCGCGUGAAGGACGACGGCCCUAUGGGUUGUAAACUUCUUUUGUACAGGGAUAAACCUUUCCACGUGUGGAAGGCUGAAGGUACUGUACGAAUAAGCACCGGCUAACUCCGUG
RNAcentral lists this ribosomal RNA (445 nucleotides) under uncultured bacterium. RNAcentral describes it as "bacterial SSU rRNA". It matches the Rfam family "Bacterial small subunit ribosomal RNA", at positions 62 to 507 of the family's 1533-position model. The record is from RNAcentral.